GAGAUUCUUGAAGGGAAUUCUGGUUGUUUUCACUUUGCUAAUAGUCCAUUAACAUCAGCUUAUUGAUUUGAGGAUACUUUAGUUCCUUGAAAGAAAUCACUUGGAGCCAAAAAACAUGGCUUCUACUCCUGGUUUGCUGUAUCCAGUCCUGAGGCCCUGGGCAACCUUUCACUUUUGCCUCCCGUUGGACAAACCCGGCUGGGACUCAGUUGCCAGCAGAGUCUGAGAGCCACGCCUGCGGAAGUCACAUUCCUAAGAACGGAAGAUACAGGUGGCAGACAGGGCCUGGUUUGCAUUUCACCUUGUGUUUCAGUGAAUCUAAAAUAAAAUUGUGCAAUCUGUGAACUCCAGGACUGACAGUCAAGAAGCAGUUGAGCAGAAACCCAGGAAGGAAUUGAAUAGUUCCUACUGAUGAUCCAUUUUUAGAAAUCUGAUUUGUGGUUUGGAGGAACUAGGUAUUGAAUUCCAGGAAGGAAAAGGAACAGCAGUGCAGAAGAACGAGGGGAGGAUUCGCUGGUGCUUUCCAUAGCGACUGGACAAAAACAGAAGGAGAUUUGAGACAGGAGAAGACACAGAGAAAAGGAGAAGGCAAUGUGACCACAGAGACAAAUAGUGGAGUAACAGCCACAAGCCAAGGAUGGCUGAAAUCCCCAAAGCUGGAAGAGCUGGCGUCCCAAACCCUGAAAGGAUCGGCAAUCAAGUCAGUUUGGAGUGAAAGCAGAUGUGAGCUGGGAAGCCUUUUUUCUCUUAGGACCGAUGGCCUGGAAAAGCCCAGGCUGAAUGAUUGAUUGCUUGUUUUUCCCUGAGCCCCACCCUGAGUCCCACUUGGCUUAAUUAAAUAUAUCCUCAAGGAGUCCCUGAAAUGCUUUAGGACUACUGGAUGAUUGCUGGUAUUCCUGUUCCUUAUUAUAUAAGGUAGUGUGUAUUGCAAUCACUUGGGAAGAUAUCCAUUAUACACACAUCUGCCUCCAAACCCCAAUCCAGGAUUCAGAUUUCCAGGAAAGAAGUUUGAUCCCGUGUAUUUCGAAAAAGUAUCUAAAGUGAUUUUGAUAAACACUCCUAGGUAGACAACACUGAGACGAAAUGAACUACCAUAUAUUUUAUUUACCACUUCAAAUUAUACACAGCUAUGUUGCUUAACAUACUGCAUUUUAUUAAUCCUUUAAAAAGAAUCAAACCUUUUUUAUUUUAAUUGCAUGUUUGUUGGUGGGGGGGCUUUGUUUUAUCAAAUGCUAUUUGGGGAUUUGUUUCUUUUCUUUAUUUCAACAAUUUAUGCUUUUAUCUUUAUUGAUUUUCCGUUUUCCAUUCUUUGGGUUUAUUUUGUUGUUCUUUGAAUUUUUUGAAGUGCGUUUAAUUUUAGUUUUUCUUCUCUCUCGCACACAUAUUUUUUUAAAUGAAUGUA
Molecule: long non-coding RNA, 1402 nt
Organism: Equus caballus (horse)
Lineage: Eukaryota; Metazoa; Chordata; Mammalia; Perissodactyla; Equidae
Source: Ensembl